Molecule: RNA transcript, 963 nt
Organism: Zootermopsis nevadensis
Lineage: Eukaryota; Metazoa; Arthropoda; Insecta; Blattodea; Termopsidae
Source: RefSeq, a predicted model, not a curated record
GUGAAGUAAUAUAUAGACGAGUUUCGGUAUGUGAUAGGUUAAGUGAGAAACGUGAGAAAUAUCCCUGGCAUUUAACUGUCGGAAACGUUUAUGAGUUUACUCAUCACAUAAAUAUAAGACUCGAGAUUCAGGACGUGGUAAUUUAUACUCAGUUUCGACAAGUUUGAACGCGUUUUCUCCCUUCCGUUCAGGAUUUGUGACUACCCUAAGAAAUGUUUAUACUUUACACCAGUUUCGUACCUAAUGACCUAAUACAAAGUUUCCGAAUAAAAACCAUCAUAAAAUUAAUUACUUCCGGAAAUACUUAUUGUAACCGGCUGAAAUUUUCUCGCGAUUUUUAAAAUUGCGGUACCUUAUAUACGCUUCUGCAGUGUUGAUGUUAUUAGUUCUGCAUUGGUUGAAUAGAUGUCAGGGUGAGUGUUGUGACGCAACCGAUUCGUCGAUGUUUGUGGUUUGUGGAAAGAUCACUAGAGGGUACGACUGUCCCAAAAGAUGGUUGAGUUAAAGACAACAUGGACUAGAGAUGGCAGAAAUGUGCCGAGUGAAAAGUAAUGUGUUCUUUCACUAAUAAAUAUAAAACACACAUUGAGCGAGUGGUGUGUUGAAAAUUUGUGUUCAAAAUUGUGUAUAAUGUUUGCGAUUCUGCGGUGUACAUGCACGACGUCGACUGGAACUUCACGAUCUUCUGACAUGGAGCUGGUGAUACAAACGAACUGCAGAUGCUGUUUUCUUGGUUUCGGUUACUGCUGGUACUGCCUCCUGCCGGCUACAAAGCGAAUGAUGAACGACCCAUUGCAUCCUUCUACGACAUCUCCUUGUGAUUAUUUAAUAAUUACUACGGCUAUCUGCCUGCAAAGCAAGAAGGGAAUAAGUAUUCUCAGAGAAACGUCCAUUCUGCUAGUUCACACGCAAGAAACAUUUUUAUAAUUGACGGACUGAUUACCAUAACAAAUCGAUAUCUAA